CCUACGGGAGGCAGCAGUGAGGAAUAUUGGUCAAUGGACGAGAGUCUGAACCAGCCAAGUAGCGUGAAGGAUGACUGCCCUAUGGGUUGUAAACUUCUUUUAUAAAGGAAUAAAACGAGGCACGUGUGCCUUUUUGCAUGUACUUUAUGAAUAAGGAUCGGCUAACUCCGUGCCAGCAGCCGCGGUAAUACGGAGGAUCCGAGCGUUAUCCUGAUUUAGUGGGUUUAAAGGGAGCGUAGAUUGGUUGUUAAGUCAGGUGUGAAAGUUUGCGGCUCAACCGUAAAAUUGCAAUUGAUACUGUCAGUCUUGAGUACAGUUGAGGUAGGCGGAAUUCGUGGGGUAGCGGUGAAAUGCUUAGAUAUCACGAAGAACCCCGAUUGCGAAGGCAGCUUACUAAACUGUGACUGACAUUGAUGCUCGAAAGUGUGGGUAUCAAACAGGAGUAGAUACCCGAGUAGUC
Molecule: ribosomal RNA, 460 nt
Filed under: uncultured bacterium
Lineage: Bacteria
Description: partial 16S ribosomal RNA
Rfam family: Bacterial small subunit ribosomal RNA
Source: RNAcentral